UGGGGAAUUUUGGACAAUGGGCGCAAGCCUGAUCCAGCCAUGCCGCGUGAGUGAAGAAGGCCUUCGGGUUGUAAAGCUCUUUCGGCGGGGACGAAACGGUUCGUGACAACACCACGGACUAAUGACGGUACCCGCAUAAGAAGCACCGGCUAACUACGUGCCAGCAGCCGCGGUAAUACGUAGGGUGCAGGCGUUAAUCGGAAUUACUGGGCGUAAAGCGUGCGCAGGCGGUUUGUUAAGACAGGUGUGAAAUCCCCGGGCUUAACCUGGGAAUUGCGCUUGUAACUGGCAGGCUAGAGUGUGGCAGAGGGGGGUGGAAUUCCACGUGUAGCAGUGAAAUGCGUAGAUAUGUGGAGGAACACCGAUGGCGAAGGCAGCCCCCUGGGUCAACACUGACGCUCAUGCACGAAAGCGUGGGGAGCAAACAGGAUUAGAUACCCCGGUAGUCCCUGAGCGGGCUGGCAAGGCGCAU
This 472-nucleotide ribosomal RNA is filed under the name uncultured bacterium. Its description in RNAcentral is "bacterial SSU rRNA". It matches the Rfam family "Bacterial small subunit ribosomal RNA", at positions 355 to 825 of the family's 1533-position model. The record is from RNAcentral.